GUGCCAGCAGCCGCGGUAAUACGUAGGGUGCAAGCGUUAAUCGGAAUUACUGGGCGUAAAGCGUGCGCAGGCGGUUUUGUAAGACAGAGGUGAAAUCCCCGGGCUCAACCUGGGAACGGCCUUUGUGACUGCAAAGCUGGAGUGCGGCAGAGGGGGAUGGAAUUCCGCGUGUAGCAGUGAAAUGCGUAGAUAUGCGGAGGAACACCGAUGGCGAAGGCAAUCCCCUGGGCCUGCACUGACGCUCAUGCACGAGAGCGUGGGGAGCAAACAGGAUUAGAUACCCUGGUAGUCCACGCCCUAAACGAUGUCAACUGGUUGUUGGGUCUUCACUGACUCAGUAACGAAGCUAACGCGUGAAGUUGACCGCCUGGGGAGUACGGCCGCAAGGUUAAAACUCAAAGGAAUUGACGGGGACCCGCACAAGCGGUGGAUGAUGUGGUUUAAUUCGAUGCAACGCGAAAAACCUUACCCACCUUUGACAUGUACGGAAUCCUGCAGAGACGCAGGAGUGCUCGAAAGAGAGCCGUAACACAGGUGCUGCAUGGCUGUCGUCAGCUCGCGUCGUGAGAUGUUGGGUUAAGUCCCGCAACGAGCGCAACCCUUGCCAUUAGUUGCUACGAAAGGGCACUCUAAUGGGACUGCCGGUGACAAACCGGAGGAAGGUGGGGAUGACGUCAAGUCCUCAUGGCCCUUAUAGGUGGGGCUACACACGUCAUACAAUGGCUGGUACAAAGGGUUGCCAACCCGCGAGGGGGAGCCAAUCCCAUAAAGCCAGUCGUAGUCCGGAUCGCAGUCUGCAACUCGACUGCGUGAAGUCGGAAUCGCUAGUAAUCGUGGAUCAGCAUGUCACGGUGAUACGUUCCCGGGUCUUGCACUCACCGCCCGUCA
This 888-nucleotide ribosomal RNA is filed under the name uncultured Comamonadaceae bacterium. RNAcentral describes it as "bacterial SSU rRNA". It matches the Rfam family "Bacterial small subunit ribosomal RNA", at positions 505 to 1399 of the family's 1533-position model. Lineage: Bacteria; Pseudomonadati; Pseudomonadota; Betaproteobacteria; Burkholderiales; Comamonadaceae. The record is from RNAcentral.